AGACUCAAGUAUUUUUGUGCGUACGCACUAUUUCAUUUGCUUCCUUUUUACUUCAAGAAGGAAAAAAGGAGACGAAAUACAUUGGUGCGCGAAAAUAUGCUUUACUUCAAAACUUUGUGUCAAAAAUAUCAAAUAAAGACACUGAAUAUUAAAAAGAAACUCACAAGCGCCAACGGGACUUUCGUAACGUAACCGAUAGGCCGGUUCUCGAGCAGCGGAAGGUGUUCUCGAAGCAUUCCUUGGGUCGACGUUUGCUGCCCUAUGUCGUAAGUUUUCCCUAUCUUU
Long non-coding RNA from Diprion similis, 285 nucleotides. RefSeq lists it as uncharacterized. Lineage: Eukaryota; Metazoa; Arthropoda; Insecta; Hymenoptera; Diprionidae. The transcript is spliced from 2 exons. The record is from RefSeq and is a predicted model, not a curated record.